AGUGAACGCUGGCGGUAGGCCUAACACAUGCAAGUCGAACGGCAGCACAGUAAGAGCUUGCUCUUACGGGUGGCGAGUGGCGGACGGGUGAGGAAUACAUCGGAAUCUACUUUUUCGUGGGGGAUAACGAAGGGAAACUUACGCUAAUACCGCAUACGACCUACGGGUGAAAGCAGGGGAUCUUCGGCCCUUGCGCGAUUGAAUGAGCCGAUGUCGGAUUAGCUAGUUGGCGGGGUAAAGGCCCACCAAGGCGACGAUCCGUAGCUGGUCUGAGAGGAUGAUCAGCCACACUGGAACUGAGACACGGUCCAGACUCCUACGGGAGGCAGCAGUGGGGAAUAUUGGACAAUGGGCGCAAGCCUGAUCCAGCCAUACCGCGUGGGUGAAGAAGGCCUUCGGGUUGUAAAGCCCUUUUGUUGGGAAAGAAAGGCAGCAGGUUAAUACCCCGCUGUUCUGACGGUACCCAAAGAAUAAGCACCGGCUAACUUCGUG
Molecule: ribosomal RNA, 492 nt
Filed under: uncultured bacterium
Lineage: Bacteria
Description: partial 16S ribosomal RNA
Rfam family: Bacterial small subunit ribosomal RNA
Source: RNAcentral